UUACCAAAUUCGUUGCUAAACGGAGCGUCGGAGCCGUUCAAACCCGAGAAAGCUCGAAUUAUGGAAGUGCGAGCCGGCCGAUUAAGAUCCUAGUUUAGUUCAGCCGGGGAAAGGGUCCGCGGCAUUUAUUUUCUUAAUGACGCAAAAACUAGGGGUCUGAGAGAGUCUCUGAGUCUCUGACUCUGACCUCUUGGACCUAACUGUACCUGUCUUGUAUACGGUUUAAGCUUCCAUAACAAUCACCAGCACCAAACCCAGACAUCUCUCUCUCUGUAUUGACAAAUUGACCCAAUUUGAUAAAAACUAAAAAAUCGCCUAUUCUAUUGCUGUUCAAAGAGAGGAGGAAUUUGGAGUAUUUCAGAGAGAAGAGGAAGAGAAGAGAAGAGCGUUUUAAAGAGAAGAAGAAGAGAAAUCGGAACCCAUUCGAUUUAUUAAAGAGAAGAGGAAUUUAUUAGGUGUUUUAGUUUUAUUGUGUACUUGUGUAAUAAGGUGACGUGUCACUCAACUAUUGGAUGCUGCAAAAGGCAUUGUUUGCAGAUGGACCGCAUAGUAGGGGCACUCUUUGUAAAAUCCUCAAGCUGGUGAAUCGAUUUUGUUUUAGAAGCAGCGAGGAAAAGAAUCAUCCUUGUCCAAAAUGCUCUCAAAGUUCCAACUUCCCAGGCUUCUCUGUCAUUCACUUUGCCGAAGAAAAACCAUUGUCAAUCUGCUGCCUUUCAACUUCUUAUACAACCCUUUCUGCACCACGGCUGACUCGACCCAAAUCGCUGAGUCGACCGAGCUUCCAAGCUGGGUCAAAUUCAGUGAGACCCAGAACUCUGCAACCGCAGAUUCAGAUGAUGACUUUGUCAUACCUUCACUUGCUCAUUGGGUUGAGAACCACCAACUCCAUGAUCACGGCAAAGUUGUUAAGCCAACGCUAAGCGAAACUGACGUAGACAAAAUCAGCAAAAUCCUCAAGAAUCGGUACCCAUCGCCAGAUGACGUGGUUCAAGCUCUAAAUGGGUUUGGUUUUAUUGCAUCAACCAGUUUGGUUGAACAGCUUCUGAAGAGGUUUAGCAACGAUUGGAUCCCCGCUUUUGGAGUUUUCAUUUGGGCAAAAGUGCAAACAGGUUAUAAGCAUUCGCCGGAGUUGUAUGACUUCAUGGUUGAUGUCUUAGGAAAAUCGAGGAAGUUUCAUACCAUGUGGGAGUUGGUGGUGGAAAUGAAUCAGUUAGGAGGGUAUGUCACAUUAGUCACAAUGAGUAAGGUCAUGAGGAGGCUUGCAAAGGCUGGUAGGUACGAGGAGGCAGUUGAGGCAUUUAGGAACAUAGUGCGGUUUGGGGUGAGCAAAGAUAUCGUAGCAAUGAAUGUCCUGAUGGAUGCAUUGGUGAAAGAGAAUAGUGUUGAGCAUGCCCAUGAUGUUUUCUUGGAGUUCAAGAAUGUGAUACCUUUGGAUUCUCACUCUUUCAAUGUUUUGAUACAUGGGUGGUGCAAAGCCAGGAAAUUAGACCAUGCCAAAAAGGCUAUGGAGGAUAUGGAGAAACAUGGGUUUCAGCCCAAUGUAUCCUCCUAUACAUGUUUCAUUAAAGCGUAUUCUCAUGAAAAGGAUUUUCGCAAAGUGGAUGAAAUUCUUGAUGAAAUGAAAGAUAAGGGAUGCACACCUAAUGUGGUGACUUAUACUAUUGUAAUGCAUGCUCUAGGUAAGGCAAGGCAGGUAACUAAAGCGAUGGAGGUUUAUGAGAAGAUGAAGAGGACUGGUUGUGUUCCUGAUACUUCAUUUUAUAGCUCUUUGAUAUUCAUUCUUGGUAAGGCUGGUAGGCUUAAAGAUGCACGCGAUUUAUUUGAGGACAUGGAGAAGCAAGGAGUUAGUCGCGACGUACUGACGUAUAAUACUUUGAUUUCUUGUUAUUGCUCACAUUUGCAAGAAGAGACAGCUUUGAAGUUGCUUCAGAAAAUGGAAGAGGAUUCUUGCAAGCCGGAUCUCAAGACUUAUGCUCCUCUAUUGAAGAUGUUCUGCAGAAAGAAGAGAAUGAAGGUGCUUUAUAUCUUGUUAGACCACAUGUUUAGAAAUGACAUUAGCAUUGAAGUUGGAACUUACUUGCUUCUGGUGCGCGGUUUAUGUAAGAACGGAAAACUCGAACACGCUUGCUUGUUUUUUGAAGAGAUGGUGUUGAAGGGAAUGGUUCCAAAUGACUGCACAUACAAGAUGUUGAUGGAAGAAGUUGAGGGCAAGAGUAUGACAAAAGCAAAGGAACACAUUGAGAAGUUGAUGUCAAAUGCAAAAGAACAAAGAAGCAUCUAACACACCUUUUACAGUGCCUAGUACACAUCAGGCUGAAUUGGUUCAGCUGUUUUAUACUAUGGUUCUGUUUUCAAGAAACUUUGGAGGACAAAUUACCACUUCCCCUGUUGUUGAAACGACCAGUGUGUUUGACACAAUAUUGCCUGUUAAAGGUUUUUUUGGGCUUCUAGCAGCAAGGAAGGUUUGGAUAUUAACGAACUCCAGGCAUGGCAUAGCCACAAUAAGGGGCUCCAAAAAUCCAGAAAUUUUACAUGAAAAAAAUAAUACAUGCACCACAUGUACUCCGUGUAUCCAAAAUUUUUAGAAUAAUACUACUUUUUACAUUCAUUUAUCACACACUUCAUACUUGCUAAUAUGACAUAUUUUAAGUGGCUGACAUAAGAAAUUACUUAAAAUAUACCAUAUUUGUCAAUAUGAAAUAAGCAUGAUAAAUGCGUGUGCAUAAUAGCAUUACUCAAAAUUUUAAGCUACAACAAUUGGACAGUUGGUGUUCCUACAAAUGUUUUCCAGAAGCAGAACACAGCUGAUAUAAUUAGCUUUUCAAAAUUAUGUUGUGCUUCCUUCAAAGGACACUUUUGGUGGGAUUUUUGACAUGUUUCAGAACCUCACAUCCAAUGCCCAUGUACCACAUAUUGAAUUUGAGACCUCUUCUAGGUGUUCAUCGCAUUGCCUGUGAACAUCAUAUUUGCCCUUCCAGCAGAGGAGGCCGUUUUUCUUUCCAUAACCAAGCAGGCUUGUCACUUAAAGCAUUGCCCAUGUAAAUUGUUUGUUUUAUGUAGAGCUUAUACUUGCAGAUUCUACUGGAUCAUAUUGUGGCCUGUUAAAAUUGGUUCACUUCCAAGUUUGCAAAGGGAA
This is an RNA transcript of Corylus avellana, 3136 nucleotides long. It is a transcript of the gene named Pentatricopeptide repeat (PPR) superfamily protein, with no coding region annotated. The record is from RefSeq and is a predicted model, not a curated record. NCBI's taxonomy places the organism in Eukaryota, Viridiplantae, Streptophyta, Magnoliopsida, Fagales, Betulaceae.